Molecule: small RNA, 77 nt
Filed under: Xanthomonas vesicatoria
Lineage: Bacteria; Pseudomonadati; Pseudomonadota; Gammaproteobacteria; Lysobacterales; Lysobacteraceae
Description: sX9
Source: RNAcentral
AGGCAUCACUCUUACGCUCCAGUGCUGGGUGCUUCAUCCCUAUCCAGCUGACGACUGCUCGCGACGUGUUGUUCGCC